AUCACUUCUUGGCCUUUGGGCUAAGAUCAAGCAUAGUAUCUGUUCUUAUCAGUUUUAAAAACUCUGAGGUCCCAUAUCAAUAAUAGUAGCCAUAGCAAUAAUUAUCAUUAUUGCAGCUAGUAUAUUUAAUAUUUAUUACAUGCCAGAUAUAAGGCUAAGUGUUUUACACAUAUUCUCUUUUAUAAUCUUC
Pteronotus mesoamericanus is the source of this 190-nucleotide small nuclear RNA. RefSeq annotates it as U2 spliceosomal RNA. The record is from RefSeq and is a predicted model, not a curated record. The transcript has a single exon. NCBI's taxonomy places the organism in Eukaryota, Metazoa, Chordata, Mammalia, Chiroptera, Mormoopidae.